Molecule: ribosomal RNA, 468 nt
Filed under: Neohirasea unnoi
Lineage: Eukaryota; Metazoa; Arthropoda; Insecta; Phasmatodea; Lonchodidae
Description: partial 16S ribosomal RNA
Rfam family: Bacterial large subunit ribosomal RNA (bases 331-468)
Source: RNAcentral
AUGGCUGCGGUAUUUUGACCGUACAAAGGUAGCAUAAUCAUUAGUUUAUUAAUUGUGAACUAGUAUGAAUGGUUUAACGAAAUAUUAACUGUCUCAUAUUUAUUAUUAUAAUUUAAAUUUUGAGUUAAAAUGCUUAAAUUUUUUUAUAGGACGAGAAGACCCUAUAGAUCUUUAUUUAUAAUAUUUUUAUUUUGUUUGGUUUAUAUGUUUUUAAUUGUUUUAUUUAUUUUGUUGGGGUGACAUGGAGAUAUUAAUAACUCUUUAUUUUUAAUUCAAUUAUUUUUGUUUAUUUGACCUUUUAUUAUUGUUAUAAGAUUUAGAUACCUUAGGGAUAACAGCGUAAUUUUUUUUGAGAGUUCUUAUCGACAAUAAAGAUUGCGACCUCGAUGUUGGAUUAAGAUUAUAAUUAGGUGAAGAUGCUUAAUUGUUAAGUCUGUUCGACUUUUAAUUUCUUACAUGAUCUGAGUU